AUGAGAUGAAGCACGGCAGGUUGAUAGGGCUACCUGACCAAAGUGGAUGCAGAAACGGUCGGAUAGAGAUUCAACCGCGCCAAAGGCCCAGCAAGAGCCACAAUGCCCCUGCCAUUUCCAUAAUCGAGUCAUUCCAAUGCCCCACCAGCGCUGAGCAAACCAAUUGAAGUGUUAAGUGAAAUUAUAAUCGCUCGCUUUACCUGAUCUGCGGUCCAGCAAUUGACAAAAUUCCAAAAGAGAUACCGGCACACAUAGACAUAGCAAUGUGUCAGCUACUCACAGUCAACGGAGACCCAAACAACACAAGAAGUGGAGAGAGCUGAUAGAUCACAGAAGGGGGUUUGUCACAGACCAAGUAUCCUGCCGAUGGUACUGCAAUGGGACCAAGCACUCCUAGCGUCGAACUCCUUGGGAAGCGUCACUUUCAGAGAUUCUGGGUGUCGUCUCACAGGAAAAUCGAGAAGACGGUUCUUGGGCAGAGGCUUAACACCGAGGAGACGCUUGAAUUGCGCAAACUGUUGAGAAUGUGCAGCAUAGAUUGUCAAGGGCUGAACAUUAGAGGAACAAUGGAUGAUUGCCGCUAUGGCCGAUCUACAGGGGUUCCCACCGUGUAAUUGGAGAAGGCGGCGUUCAUGUCCGCCCGCCACCCUGCGUUGGGGUUGGAGUUGACCUCCCUUACAAUGGAUUCCUGCACCAGAUGCGGAAGAAAAUUAACCAGGCUAGCGGACGACCAACUAAUCAGAAGCCAAACCAAACGAGAG
Molecule: long non-coding RNA, 761 nt
Filed under: Spirodela polyrhiza (greater duckweed)
Lineage: Eukaryota; Viridiplantae; Streptophyta; Magnoliopsida; Alismatales; Araceae
Description: long non-coding RNA (SPOL_LNC001909)
Source: RNAcentral